AUAUAUUAGAUCGCAACUUGCAUGAUAAGGAAACCAAAAAUGAUGGUGCGAAAUAAAAUUUUGAUUAUCCUUAAAACUACCACAAUGCAUAUAAAAUUACACUAAAAGCUCUCAUAUGUCGGAAAAUGUUGAAUAUUUGCUUUAGAAUUGAAAGCUCUUUUACUGCAGUAAUCUUAUUAAGAUAGAUCUAGUCAACUAAUCGAACCUAGUAUGUAGUAGUUGAUUUCUAUUUGAAUUUUGAAUAAAUAGUACUUUUAAGACUUAAGCAGUUUGUUAUUUUCAAGAGUCUUUUUUUGCUUAUCUUUAGGUUUUGAAGUUAGUAUUCUAUUAUAAAUUAGUAUUAUAUUGCAGUAAAAUGAUAUCGAACUUUCAACUUCAUUUCAUAAGUUCUUUUUGUUAUUGUUCUUCGUUCUUAUUCUUUCAUUAUUCCUAAAUAUUUUCCUGCAAUUUCUUCUCUUUCAAAACAGACCUUGGGAUUAUCUAAAGAAAAACUUAGCUGAGAUAAAUGAGUACGUGGGAUGCAAGUAUUGAAUUUAAUAAGGGGAUUCGAGUCCAGAGAAUGAAAGAUUCUCAUCCAGCCAAAGAAUACUCAAACAUAUUGCUUGACAUUAUUAACAAGGAGCAAAGGAGACUUAUUAGGCAAGAUAGAAUGGUUGAAAGAGCCUUAGCCACCAGUCACAAAACUCAAAGCAGGGGUAAAAUUAAAAACUUACCAACCUUGUGAGCACUGGGAAAAAUGGGUCAUCCACCAUUCGGAUGUUGGAAAAGGCCGAAAGGUGAAGUGCAACAAUUUCCAGCAGCUUGGUCAUGAAGCAAUGAUUUGCAAAAAUAAAUCUAAGAACCAUAAAACAGAUGUACGUGCCGCCAAUCAAGAAGAAGAAGACCAUCUUUUUGUUGCAACAUAUAUCUCAAGUAAGGUUUCAGCCAAAAAAUAAUGGUUAACUGAUAGAGGUUACACUAACCAAAUGACUUACGACAAGAGUUUGUUCAAGGAGCUAGCCUACUGAAAUUUCCAAAGUUUACAAUAAAAAAAGGAGACCAAAUUCUUGUUGAAGGAAAAGGAAUUGUCAUCAUCAAAACAAGUUCAUGUAACAAGACAUUUUCAGAUGUUCUAUACGUAACCUCAUAUUGAUCAGAUUUGUUGAUUAUUUGUCAGUUGGUAGAUAAAGGAUUCAAACUAUCCUUUGAGGAUAAACAUUGCUUCAUCAGCGAUGAUACUGAAAAAGAGAUGUUUAAAAAUUUAAGAUGAAGAAAACAUUUCUCAUUUGAUCCAAUGGAAGAUGUUCCUGUAAAACAUGCAAAA
Non-coding RNA from Solanum lycopersicum (tomato), 1303 nucleotides. Lineage: Eukaryota; Viridiplantae; Streptophyta; Magnoliopsida; Solanales; Solanaceae. The record is from RefSeq and is a predicted model, not a curated record.